Molecule: transfer RNA, 72 nt
Organism: Ovis aries (sheep)
Lineage: Eukaryota; Metazoa; Chordata; Mammalia; Artiodactyla; Bovidae
Rfam family: tRNA
About the family: Transfer RNA (tRNA) molecules are approximately 80 nucleotides in length. Their secondary structure includes four short double-helical elements and three loops (D, anti-codon, and T loops).
Source: Rfam
UCCCUGGUGGCUCAGCUGGUAAAGUGUCUGCCUGCAAGGCAGGAGAUCCAGGUGCAAUCCCUGGGUUAGGAA